RNAcentral lists this long non-coding RNA (214 nucleotides) under Mytilus galloprovincialis (Mediterranean mussel). Lineage: Eukaryota; Metazoa; Mollusca; Bivalvia; Mytilida; Mytilidae. The record is from RNAcentral.
GGGGGGGUGGGGGUGCUUGCACGAAAAAAACGUGAAAUAAGACAUCAUUUCACGUUGAACGUGAAAUAAUUUCUGUCAUGAACGUUGCACGAAAAACAAAGACUUUGAUGUGAACCUUUUGUGACUGAGUCACUGUCUUCAUGUAUGUACCUGUAAACUCUCUGUUGUACUUGAAAACUUUAAAAUCGAUAAGGAACAAUAUCAAAGGCCUUCC